GACGAACGCUGGCGGCGUGCUUAACACAUGCAAGUCGAACGGAAAGGCCCUGCUUUUGUUGGGUGCUCGAGUGGCGAACGGGUGAGUAACACGUGAGUAACCUGCCCUUGACUUUGGGAUAACUUCAGGAAACUGGGGCUAAUACCGGAUAGGAGCUCCUGCUGCAUGUUGGGGGUUGGAAAGUUUCGGCGGUUGGGGAUGGACUCGCGGCUUAUCAGCUUGUUGGUGGGGUAGUUGCUUACCAAGGCUUUGACGGGUAGCCGGCCUGAGAGGGUGACCGGCCACAUUGGGACUGAGAUACGGCCCAGAAUGCUACGGGAGGCAGCAGUGGGGAAUAUUGCAAAAUGGGCGGAAGCCUGAUGCAGCAACGCCGCGUGCGGGAUGACGGCCUUCGGGUUGUAAACCGAUUUCGCCUGUGACGAAGCGGGAGUGACGGUAAUGGGUAAAGAAGCACCGGCUAACUACGUG
RNAcentral lists this ribosomal RNA (468 nucleotides) under uncultured bacterium. RNAcentral's name for it is "partial 16S ribosomal RNA". It matches the Rfam family "Bacterial small subunit ribosomal RNA", at positions 28 to 507 of the family's 1533-position model. The record is from RNAcentral.